RNAcentral lists this ribosomal RNA (464 nucleotides) under uncultured bacterium. Its description in RNAcentral is "bacterial SSU rRNA". It matches the Rfam family "Bacterial small subunit ribosomal RNA", at positions 30 to 490 of the family's 1533-position model. The record is from RNAcentral.
AGCGAACGCUGGCGGCGUGCUUAACACAUGCAAGUCGAGUGCGCGGUUCGUAGCAAUACGAACUGGCGCACGGCGCACGGGUGAGGAACACGUGGGCAACAUGCCCUCCGAUGGGGAAUAACCCGCCGAAAGGCGGGCUAAUACCGCAUACGAUUCCGGGGACCUCGGUUCCUGGACUGAAAGCCCGCAAGGGCGUCGGUGGAGUGGCCCGCGGCCGAUUAGCUUGUUGGCGGGGUAACGGCCCACCAAGGCAAUGAUCGGUAGCCGGUCCUGAGAGGAUGAUCGGCCACACUGGAACUGAGACACGGUCCAGACUCCUACGGGAGGCAGCAGUGGGGAAUCUUGCGCAAUGGGCGAAAGCCUGACGCAGCGACGCCGCGUGGGGAUGAAGCCUUUCGGGGCGUAAACCCCUUUCGACCCGGACGAAAUGCCCGCAAGGGAAUUGACGGUACGGGUAUAAGAAG